RNAcentral lists this ribosomal RNA (433 nucleotides) under uncultured bacterium. RNAcentral describes it as "partial 16S ribosomal RNA". It matches the Rfam family "Bacterial small subunit ribosomal RNA", at positions 29 to 507 of the family's 1533-position model. The record is from RNAcentral.
AACGAACGCUGGCGGCAUGCCUAACACAUGCAAGUCGAACGGGACCAUCGGGUCUAGUGGCGCACGGGUGCGUAACGCGGGGGAAUCUGCCCUUGGGUUCGGAAUAACAGUUGGAAACGACUGCUCAUAUCGGAUGAGGACGUAAGUCCAAAGAUUUAUCGCCCAGGGAUGAGCCCGCGUAGGAUUAGCUAGUUGGUGGGGUAAAGGCCUACCAAGGCGACGAUCCUUAGCUGGGCUGAGAGGCUGAUCAGCCACACUGGGACUGAGACACGGCCCAGACUCCUACGGGAGGCAGCAGUGGGGAAUAUUGGACAAUGGGGGAAAGCAUGAUCCAGCAAGGCCGCGUGAGUGCUGAAGGCGGUAGGGUAGUAAAGCUCUUUUACCCGGGAUGAUAAUGACAGUACCGGGAGAAGAAGCACCGGCUAACUCCGUG